ACCUGUCUGUUGAAUAUUUCAUUGAAUCUUUCUUUUAAGUGCAUUUCAAUUUCGCCAUAUUGAUACAUAGUGUAGAGAUAUUUUUGAAUUAGAUAAAUAGGCCAUUUUUAGGUGGUCAGUCUUUUUCUUUACCAUUUACCAAGUAUUUUGCUUUUGCCACAUGUGUUGUUUUGUACUGUAGGAAAUUAAACAAGGUGUUGAAUACAACACUGGAAAGUUUUGUAUUAUCUUUCUGUUGAAUAUUUCAUUGACAAUAUAAUUUUAUCAACACUAUGAGCUGCAGUUUCUUACUUUCUUUAUUGUAUUUAUUUGAUUAUUGCUUUUAUGUAUGUCUUUUUAACCCAUAUGGAAAAUACAAUUCACCCUUGUAAGAGUGAGAAUUAUUACAUUAAUACAAUUUAAAUUCAUAAAUGAUUGUUUAAUGGUUUUUUUUUUUACUUUAUUAAUGAUUAUCCAUUAAAUAUAAUGUCUCAGAAUAACAUUACUGGUGUUUCAUUAACCUUAAGGUACAAUGGGAUUUGCAACUGCAUAUUACAGAGUAACUUACUUUUGCCACAUGUGUUGUUUUGCUCUGUAGGAUAUUAAACAAGGUGUUGAAUACAACACUCGAAAAUUUUAUAUUACCUGUCUGUUGAAUAUUUCAUUGAAUUUAUCUUUUUAGUGCAUUUAAAUUUCGCCA
Cinara cedri is the source of this 679-nucleotide non-coding RNA. Lineage: Eukaryota; Metazoa; Arthropoda; Insecta; Hemiptera; Aphididae. The record is from the annotation of a GenBank genome assembly.